GGGUUGUGAGGUUAAGCGACUAAGCGUACACGGUGGAUGCCCUGGCAGUCAGAGGCGAUGAAGGGCGUGCUAAUCUGCGAUAAGCGCCGGUAAGGUGAUAUGAACCGUUAUAACCGGCGAUACCCGAAUGGGGAAACCCAGUGUGAUUCGUCACACUAUCAUUAACUGAAUCCAUAGGUUAAUGAGGCGAACCGGGGGAACUGAAACAUCUAAGUACCCCGAGGAAAAGAAAUCAACCGAGAUUCCCCCAGUAGCGGCGAGCGAACGGGGAGGAGCCCAGAGCCUGAAUCAGCAUGUGUGUUAGUGGAAGCGUCUGGAAAGGUGCGCGAUACAGGGUGACAGCCCCGUACACAAAAGCGCAUGUGCUGUGAGCUCGAUGAGUAGGGCGGGACACGUGGUAUCCUGUCUGAAUAUGGGGGGACCAUCCUCCAAGGCUAAAUACUCCUGACUGACCGAUAGUGAACCAGUACCGUGAGGGAAAGGCGAAAAGAACCCCGGCGAGGGGAGUGAAAAAGAACCUGAAACCGUGUACGUACAAGCAGUGGGAGCACCCUUCGGGGUGUGACUGCGUACCUUUUGUAUAAUGGGUCAGCGACUUAUAUUCUGUAGCAAGGUUAACCGUAUAGGGGAGCCGGAGGGAAACCGAGUCUUAACCGGGCGUUAAGUUGCAGGGUAUAGACCCGAAACCCGGUGAUCUAGCCAUGGGCAGGUUGAAGGUUGGGUAACACUAACUGGAGGACCGAACCGACUAAUGUUGAAAAAUUAGCGGAUGACCUGUGGCUGGGGGUGAAAGGCCAAUCAAACCGGGAGAUAGCUGGUUCUCCCCGAAAGCUAUUUAGGUAGCGCCUCGUGAAUUCAUCUCCGGGGGUAGAGCACUGUUUCGGCUAGGGGGCCAUCCCGGCUUACCAACCCGAUGCAAACUGCGAAUACCGGAGAAUGUUAUCACGGGAGACACACGGCGGGUGCUAACGUCCGUCGUGAAGAGGGAAACAACCCAGACCGCCAGCUAAGGUCCCAAAGUCAUGGUUAAGUGGGAAACGAUGUGGGAAGGCCCAGACAGCCAGGAUGUUGGCUUAGAAGCAGCCAUCAUUUAAAGAAAGCGUAAUAGCUCACUGGUCGAGUCGGCCUGCGCGGAAGAUGUAACGGGGCUAAACCAUGCACCGAAGCUGCGGCAGCGAACGUAUCACCCAAGACAACUUUACGGAGUUGACGAUUGACGGAGCGAAGCGACGUCAAAGCGUUCAUUAAAGUCGAGUUGGCUUAGGGAUACGUUCGUUGGGUAGGGGAGCGUUCUGUAAGCCUGUGAAGGUGUGUCGUGAGGCAUGCUGGAGGUAUCAGAAGUGCGAAUGCUGACAUAAGUAACGAUAAAGCGGGUGAAAAGCCCGCUCGCCGGAAGACCAAGGGUUCCUGUCCAACGUUAAUCGGGGCAGGGUGAGUCGACCCCUAAGGCGAGGCCGAAAGGCGUAGUCGAUGGGAAACGGGUUAAUAUUCCCGUACUUGGUGUUACUGCGAAGGGGGGACGGAGAAGGCUAUGUUGGCCGGGCGACGGUUGUCCCGGUUUAAGCGUGUAGGUGUGUGUUCCAGGUAAAUCCGGUUCACUUUAACACUGAGGCGUGACGACGAGGCACUACGGUGCUGAAGCAACAAAUGCCCUGCUUCCAGGAAAAGCCUCUAAGCAUCAGGUAACAC
RNAcentral lists this ribosomal RNA (1689 nucleotides) under Salmonella enterica subsp. enterica serovar Copenhagen. Its description in RNAcentral is "partial 23S ribosomal RNA". It matches the Rfam family "Bacterial large subunit ribosomal RNA", at positions 1 to 1637 of the family's 2925-position model. The record is from RNAcentral. Lineage: Bacteria; Pseudomonadati; Pseudomonadota; Gammaproteobacteria; Enterobacterales; Enterobacteriaceae.